CACACUGUUUCCUUUCAUUUAUGCUGAAUUCAAUUCCACUCAAACCACUUCCUCAAACCCUCACAAUGCCCUCCCAGCAUGCCUAGUGAUAUGAUGGAUCCGACCUUGCCCUACCCGGUCUGGUGGGGGCUACCGGUCUGGUGGGGGAGGUGGAUACUGGAUUGGAGUGAUCGGUAGGGAUGGAGGGUGUGUAAGUGGAGAGAGCCCUCACCCUAUUACCCAGGAAGGGCACUUCACACUGGACUCACCCCACCCAGAGAUGCCCAUCCACCUCUGCCCAGCCCUGCCUUUCUCCCCUGCUGCCACACGGAGGCGACAGAGCAACCCUUCCACAGCUGCCUCUGGACGUUCUCCCAUCAGCAACGUGGAUGGGUGGCUGAGGUGGGAUCUGUGCCUUCUGCAGAUGAUCCCGGCCUGGUGAUGGCCCUCUUUUGGGCUGAGACUCCUCACGCGGAAGAUGAUGGAGGUGGAUGUUGUGAGUCCUCUGGUCCUCCAGCACUUCAAUCCAGCCUCCCACGGCAAGCCAGUUCUCGGCAACUGUGUGCCUGGGGUUCCACUCCCAGCACCUGCUUCUGGAUGGCCUGGGGGAUCCACCUGGGUGCCCCUCCACUCCGGGUCCCAGGGGAGACUGACACCCACCCAGGCAACCACCUGCUUGUUACAGAGCCCUGCAGGAGGCAGCUCACCACCCACGAGGAGGGACUUAGGCAGCGGACUUGCUGAGGGGUAAGGGUCUGCCCCAUGAUGCCUCACAGCUCCACCUUCUGGGAGCCACCCACGUGUGGGCAGCCUCAGGGGACUCCAGCUCCAGGAGCAAGAUCGGGUUGUGGAUGGAGGAAGGGUUGCAGAUGCCAUCAAAGCUGUUGCUUCUCUGUGAACUGCAGCAGACUUUGCCCGGAGCAGUAAACUGUGGACGGAGGAAGGGAAGCAGGAAGGAUUCCAUCCAAGGUGCCACGUUACACUUAAACAUCAUGCCUCCAUCCUUUCUUCCUGGUCUGAGAGAGUUGCUCAGACUCUCCUGGUUUUUGAUGAUCUUGAGAGUUUUGAGUAUUCAUCAUCAGGCUGGCACCCAGCACUGUGCUAUCCUAGGAAGAAACAGCUAAAUCCCAAUGAAAGUCUCUGCUCACCACCUCCCCUGCUCCUGCCCUGGCCUGGGCUUGGGGGGACCCAGAGAGACGUCCAUAGGGUUCUGCCCUCCUGGAUUCUCUGGCUCAGACGAUGGCCCCAUCAUAUACUCCUGCAGCCAAGGCAGAAAUCCAGGCAUCAGCCCGGACUCUUCCCUCACGCCCCCUCGUGUGCCCCCUUCUGUUUUCCUGCAGUGCCCUGAUGUCCUCUGUUGCAUUGUUUAUCAUCUUUUAUUGUAAAGGCUCCAAUUGUCCAUUUCCCCAUCUAGAUGCAAUGAAGGCAGAGGCUGUGUCUAUCUUGUUCCCUGCUGUAUUCUGGGCACCUGGCACAGUGCCUGGCACUUAACAGGUGCUAAUUAAACACUGUUGAUUGAAUUACUUAGUCCCUUUGAUUCCAUUUGCUUGAUACUCAUUGAAUCCAUACCCUCCUGUCUCCCCCAGCCGCAGUCUUUGCUCAGAUAAUUCCACCUGGGCACUGGAGCAGUUUUCUGACUGGGCUGCUUAUCUUACCUCCACCAUUCAGUCUAUUUUCCACAUUAUAGCUGGAGUGGUCAUUCUAAAGUGCCCAUCUAUCCUACUCUGAAUCCUUCCCUGGCUUCCCAUUACUUACAG
RNAcentral lists this long non-coding RNA (1736 nucleotides) under Homo sapiens (human). RNAcentral describes it as "HSALNT0178071". Lineage: Eukaryota; Metazoa; Chordata; Mammalia; Primates; Hominidae. The record is from RNAcentral.